RNAcentral lists this ribosomal RNA (1088 nucleotides) under uncultured eukaryote. RNAcentral describes it as "bacterial SSU rRNA". It matches the Rfam family "Eukaryotic small subunit ribosomal RNA", at positions 564 to 1677 of the family's 1831-position model. The record is from RNAcentral.
GUGCCAGCACCGCGGUUAAUUCCAGCUCCAAUAGCGUAUAUUAAAGUUGUUGCAGUUAAAAAGCUCGUAGUUGGAUCUGAGGAGUAGAGUAGACGGUGCGCCUUUCAGGUUCUACUGUUUGCUCAUCCUACCUAGCCGGUGACCGUCUCGGUGCUCUUAACUGAGCGCCUUGAUAGCCCGACAUGUUUACUUUGAACAAAUUAGAGUGCUCAACGCAGGCUUCAGGCUUGUAUAUUAGUGCAUGGAAUAAUGGAAUAGGACUUUAGUUCUAUUUUGUUGGUUUACGGAACCUAAGUAAUGAUUAAAAGGGACAGGCGGGGGCAUUCGUAUUGUGCCGGGAGAGGUGAAAUUCGAAGAUCGGCGCAAGACGACCUACUGCGAAAGCAUUUGCCAAGUAUGUUUUCGUUAAUCAAGAACGAAAGUCAGAGGUUCGAAGACGAUUAGAUACCGUCCUAGUUCUGACCAUAAACGAUACCACCUGAUCAUCCGAGGUUGAUUGCCUGUUCGAUCCUUCGGGCGAUCUCCGGGAAACCAAAGUUUUUUGGUUCCGGGGGAAGUAUGGUUGCAAAUCCGAAACUUAAAGGAAUUGACGGAAGGGCACCACCAGGAGUGGAGCCUGCGGCUUAAUUUGACUCAACACGGGAAAGCUCACCCGGUCCGGACACUGUUAGGAUUGACAGAUUGAUAGCUCUUUCUUGAUUCAGUGGGUGGUGGUGCAUGGCCGUUCUUAGUUGGUGGAGCGAUUUGUCUGGUUAAUUCCGAUAACGAACGAGACUCUAGCCUGCUAAAUAGUACACUCAUCACAAGUGUGGGUGCUUGCUUCUUAGAGGGACAGGCGGCGCAUAGUCGCACGAGAUUGAGCAAUAACAGGUCUGUGAUGCCCUUAGAUGUCCGGGGCCGCACGCGUGCUACACUGAUCGGUUCAUCGAGUUCACAACCUUGGCUGAUAGGCCUGGGUAAUCUUCUCAAAGCCGGUCGUGCUGGGGAUAGAUCAUUGCAAUUAUUGAUCUUCAACGAGGAAUUCCUAGUAAACGCGAGUCAUCAACUCGCAUUGAUUACGUCCCUGCCCUUUGCACUCACCGCCCGUC